Molecule: ribosomal RNA, 401 nt
Filed under: uncultured bacterium
Lineage: Bacteria
Description: bacterial SSU rRNA
Rfam family: Bacterial small subunit ribosomal RNA
Source: RNAcentral
AACCACUUUUGCACGGGACGAAAAAGGGAUAUCGAACAAAUAUCCCCGAUGACGGUACCGUGAGAAUAAGCCACGGCUAACUCUGUGCCAGCAGCCGCGGUAAGACAGAGGUGGCAAGCGUUGUUCGGAAUUACUGGGCGUAAAGAGUCUGUAGGUGGUUUGUCAAGUCUUUGGUGAAAGGCCGUAGCUUAACUAUGGGAAUGCCAAAGAGACUGGCAGGCUGGAGGCUGGGAGAGGGAAGCGGAAUUUCUGGUGUAGCGGUGAAAUGCGUAGAUAUCAGAAGGAAGGCCGGUGGCGAAGGCGGCUUCCUGGAACAGUCCUGACACUGAGAGACGAAAGCGUGGGGAGCAAACAGGAUUAGAUACCCUGGUAGUCCACGCCCUAAACGAUGGGUACUAAGU